GUGGAACAACGAAGUAGCGAGGGAUGUCAAAGGAUGGAUUGUUCGUACAACGAAAUGCAGUUUUUCGUCUGGUCACGGUCCAACUGAUUUUUUCGAUUCUUUGAAUAGUGGCGUUACACUUUGCACUUUGGCCAACGUCCUAUCCCCAGGCUCUAUUAAGAACUAUCAUAAAAACGCAAAAAUGCCAUUUCAUAAGAUGGAAAACAUUGGCUAUUUCACAGACUUUGUGACGAAGUACAAAAUUCCUGACGCAUAUAAAUUUGUUACGAAUGAUUUGUACACACAGCAUAACAUGAACCAGGU
Long non-coding RNA from Exaiptasia diaphana, 303 nucleotides. RefSeq lists it as uncharacterized. The transcript is spliced from 3 exons. NCBI's taxonomy places the organism in Eukaryota, Metazoa, Cnidaria, Anthozoa, Actiniaria, Aiptasiidae. The record is from RefSeq and is a predicted model, not a curated record.